Molecule: ribosomal RNA, 507 nt
Filed under: uncultured bacterium
Lineage: Bacteria
Description: partial 16S ribosomal RNA
Source: RNAcentral
GGAGUUAGCCGGUGCUUCUUCUGUGAGUGAUGUCCUUCCUGCCGGCUAUUAACCCGCAGGCCUUCUUCCUCACUGAAAGUGCUUUACAACCCGAAGGCCUUCUUCACACACGCGGCAUGGCUGGAUCAGGGUUGCCCCCAUUGUCCAAUAUUCCCCACUGCUGCCUCCCGUAGGAGUCUGGGCCGUGUCUCAGUCCCAGUGUGGCUGAUCAUCCUCUCAGACCAGCUACGGAUCGUCGCCUUGGUGAGCCGUUACCUCACCAACCAGCUAAUCCGACAUAGGCUCAUCCGAUAGCGCGAGGCCCGAAGGUCCCCCGCUUUCCCCCGUAGGGCGUAUGCGGUAUUAGCCUGGGUUUCCCCAGGUUAUCCCCCACUACCGGGCAGAUUCCUAUGCAUUACUCACCCGUCCGCCGCUCGCCACCAGGGAGCAAGCUCCCCGUGCUGCCGCUCGACUUGCAUGUGUUAGGCCUGCCGCCAGCGUUCAAUCUGAGCAGAAUACAACUACUGA